This is a non-coding RNA of Paramuricea clavata, 765 nucleotides long. The record is from the annotation of a GenBank genome assembly. Lineage: Eukaryota; Metazoa; Cnidaria; Anthozoa; Malacalcyonacea; Plexauridae.
CUCUGAGUUAUUCAAGGCCUGAGUACUACUCGUCAUUCUUGUGGUGGAUGACACAGGUUAUCAUCCUCGUCUGCACUCAUUCGAUGCUUUAUAAAGCGAUGAUGAAACCAGGAUCAGUUUUCUGCAAUUCAUCACUAACACACAUGGGCAGUGUUGGUAGAAGUCGAAUCUUGUUCCGUCAUGUACUGCGUUGCAUUGCAUUAAUUUCCAUUGCGUUGCAUUGCACAAAUUGUUAUCCAUUCAUUACAAUUCCCGAUUUCUCCUCACAGCAACCAGGGCGACCAGAAAGGACGGGUUGUGUUCAUAAAAUGUCAAAUUUAAAAACAAAUUUAGCGCCAAAAUACCCUAAAUACUUUAUGCACUUAUCUCUCUACUAAUUUAACACAGGGCGCUUUGGUGGGGUUAGCGCACUUGACUUUCACCUCUGAGCUCGCAGGUUCAAACCUCAGUGAGAACUUUCUCAAUGCGACUAGACCCAAGCCUCACGCAAAAGAUUAGUCAAAAGUCAACGCUCUGCCGAAAGUCGUGGACUUUCUCCCGGCAUUCCGGAUUGGGUGGGUUAGGCACAUAUAUAGGUCAGGGGGCAUUUACAACUGAAACAUGCAGCGCGCGCGGCCAACCCACUCACCAAUCUGAUCCUUUGUCGAACUAAUUCAACAAGACGUUGAGGCGAAUUCAAACCACGCGCGCACCCACAGGGGGUCCAACUAAGAGCUGUGUUAUGAAUAUGAAUAAAACAUUAAUUAAACGUAAUAUGAAUAAAAC